RNAcentral lists this ribosomal RNA (214 nucleotides) under uncultured bacterium. Its description in RNAcentral is "partial 16S ribosomal RNA". It matches the Rfam family "Bacterial small subunit ribosomal RNA", at positions 1286 to 1500 of the family's 1533-position model. The record is from RNAcentral.
UCCCAGUUCAGAUUGCAGUCUGCAACUCGACUGCAUGAAGUCGGAAUCGCUAGUAAUCGCGGAUCAGCAUGCCGCGGUGAAUACGUUCCCGGGCCUUGUACACACCGCCCGUCACACCAUGAGAGUCGGGAACACCCGAAGUCCGUAGCCUAACCGCAAGGGGGCGCGGCCGAAGGUGGGUUCGAUAAUUGGGGUGAAGUCGUAACAAGGUAAC